Molecule: non-coding RNA, 6901 nt
Organism: Meleagris gallopavo (turkey)
Lineage: Eukaryota; Metazoa; Chordata; Aves; Galliformes; Phasianidae
Source: RefSeq, a predicted model, not a curated record
AGGGGUCGGCGUUAAAUGCUCGAGGGUUAUGAUACACAUAGAAGCAAGGAAAAUGGACUGCAAUUGCCCAGGCUGUGCAAAUUCUGUGACAUUAAAGCAACGACGUGCUCAAACCAGUAUCAGUGCAAGAGCAACUGCAACAUCACUUCUAUCUGUGAGAAGAAUAACGAAGUCUGUGCGGCUGUAUGGAGACGGAACGAUGAAAAUGUGACAUUAGAAACAAUCUGCCACGAUCCCCAGAAAAGACUGUAUGGUCACAUGUUGGAUGACUCCAGCUCAGAGCAGUGUGUGAUGAAGGAGAAGAAGGAUGAUGGGGGACUGAUGUUCAUGUGCUCCUGUACAGGUGAAGAGUGCAACGAUGUUCUUAUUUUUUCUGCAGAUGAUCCCCAUAAGCCAGAGGAGAAAGAUGAAAUUUCCAAAGUCACAAUCAUAAGUCUUGUCCCCUUGUUGGUGAUUUCUGUUGCUGUGAUUGUUAUCUUUUAUGCCUACCGCACUCAUAAGAAGAGGAAGCUCAACAAGGCCUGGGAGAAGAAUGUUAAGCCCAGGAAACAUAAAGACUGCAGUGAUGUUUGUGCCAUUAUGUUGGAUGAUGAUCACUCAGACAUCAGCUCUACCUGUGCCAACAACAUCAACCACAACACAGAAUUGCUGCCCAUUGAGCUGGACAUUGUUGUUGGCAAAGGAAGAUUUGCUGAAGUGUAUAAAGCAAAAUUGAAGCAAAACACAUCUGAGCAGUAUGAAACUGUGGCAGUAAAGAUCUUCCCCUAUGAAGAAUAUGCCUCCUGGAAAACCGAGAAAGACAUUUUUUCGGAUGUAAACCUUAAGCAUGAGAACAUCCUCCAAUUCUUGACUGCAGAGGAGCGUAAGACAGAUCUUGGUAAACAGUAUUGGUUGAUCACUGCCUUCCAUGCUAGGGGAAACUUGCAGGAAUACCUCACACGGCACAUUAUCAGCUGGGAAGACCUCUGGAAACUGGGAGGAUCCUUGGCCCGAGGGAUUGCCCAUCUGCACAGUGAUCACACACCCUGUGGUCGUCCUAAAACCCCUAUUGUGCACAGAGACCUAAAGAGUUCCAACAUCCUGGUGAAAAAUGAUUUAACUUGCUGUCUCUGUGACUUUGGGUUAUCCCUCAGGCUGGACCCUUCUCUCUCUGUGGAUGACUUGGCCAACAGCGGUCAGGUUGGCACAGCAAGGUACAUGGCCCCUGAGGUCCUGGAGUCCAGGAUGAACCUUGAGAACAUGGAGUCCUUUAAACAAACAGAUGUGUACUCCAUGGCUUUGGUCCUUUGGGAAAUGACAUCUCGCUGUAAUGGUGUUGGAGAAGUGAAAGAGUAUGAGCCUCCCUUCGGCUCUAAAGUGCGGGAACAUCCCUGCGUGGAAAGCAUGAAGGACAAUGUCCUAAGAGACAGAGGGCGACCUGAGAUCCCCAGCUCCUGGCUUAACCAUCAGGGCAUCCAGAUGGUGUGUGAGACCCUUAUCGAGUGCUGGGACCACGACCCCGAGGCUCGGCUCACGGCGCAGUGCGUGGCGGAGCGCUUCAGUGAGUUCAAGCACCACGACAAGCUCUCAGGGAGAAGCUGUUCAGAGGAGAAGAUCCCCGAGGACGGCUCCGUGACCACUGCCAAGUAGCACCCACCCAAGAGCUCCGGAAUGGAGGGAGGUUACUCCUAAGCACGUUACCUUGGCAGAGGAAGAAGUCACGAUCGGUGCCUUGACUUGCUUCCUGGAGGACUGAGGCUGUCACUACUCCCAUUGAGCUGUGGCUCUGGGCAGGGAGAUGUAUGCAUGGGAGUUAAAAGCCAGGGAGUGGGUGUCGUACUCCAGCAUUGGCAGCCGGCGUCAUGUCAUAGGAGGAGCUAAGUCUGUUAGCACUUCCUCAGGAAAUGAGAUUUGAGAAUAGCCAAUAACAUUAUGCACUUUAAUAAUGCCUGUAUAUAACUAUGAAAUUGCUAUUUUUAUAUAUAUAUACAUAUAUAUUAAAAAUGUCUGUGUAUGUAUAUAUCUAUCUAUAUAUCUGUAAACAGCCAUGCUCUGAAGAAAAGAGUUUAAAAAAUGCUUGCAGGAAAUUACCUGUGCAUUAGAGAUCCCUCCCCAUUGGGAAAGCACCCGGGGAGACUGGUGUAUCAGGACACUAGCAAUUGUGCACUAAGCACUCUGCCAAAAAGAUAGGAACAAGGAGCAAUAAGAAGAUGGCUUUGAAGCAUGUGCUGCACAAACCCAGCUGUGGCCCAGGAGACAACAGUUGAGGCAGCGGUCUCACAGCAAGGAGACAGAUCUGGCUUUGCAGUUGUAACUAUACGCUCCUGCCUGCAGCGUUUUUCGGAAGAUUCGGGGAUGUCUUUACCCUCUUGCCUUAACCCCAAGGUCCUCACAGCCUCUCAUUGUGGAAGGGAACGUGAGGAGGUUUGGUCCCUCCCACCUGUGUUUCCUUGCAGAGGUCAUUAGUGUUACGUGUUUAUUGCUUUGAGUUCAUGCUGCUUGCAAGCAGGUUGCAAAAUAGCAGUGGGAUGAGAUUUCUCCCCUCCUCCCUUCCUGACCCCCAAACCACACACAACAAGACGCGUCCAGCAGUAAUCCAAGCAGAUGUUUUAUAUUUGCUCUGCAUUCUGAACGCAGACUGUACUUAUUUUUUCCUUUUACCUUGAUUGCGUUGCUGUGAGAACAAAUAACUUUUUCCUAGUACAGCAUAUCUAAUUGCUUGACAUACCACAGCCUGACUGUUCCACGCUUUCUAGAGAAAAGCAAGAGACAACACCCUGUGCCUUUGCUUUCACACAAGGAUCUUAGAGGUGAGGGAAGGCUCCAUGGCAUCAGGUUCAUGGCAUAUCCUGCCCUCUUCUCUGCAGGGUAGUGGGAAUUUAGUUAUCCAGAAUGUUUAGGAGGACAGUUGACAUAUGUAAACUUAUACAAAUGACAUCAGUGCGUUUAAUAAUGCUAACAAUUCUGUCUUCAGGAGUUCUGCAGUGAUGUUUCACUUUUUUCUUCCCUUGCCAUGCGUAUGGGAACUGUUGAACCACUGAUUGAUCACCUGAGGCAAGCACUGAGUCAGCCAUGGAGCACAGGUGAGGGUGAUGUGAUUCAGCUGUGUGACCAGAUGGGGUGGAGCCUGGCUGCACCUCUCUUAGACUCCAUUUAAGGGCUGACUCCACUGGGGAAGGGUCUCUUUCUGGAGGUCACUUCCUUUGGAGUUUUUUCUGUGAGCCUAAGAUACAGGUGAGCAUUUUCAUUUAUUUUUGAUUAUCCCCUUUCCACUGUGAUAAUCCUUCUAGUUAUAUGACUUGUAAAAUACCAGCCUAACCAUGCCAGUCUGCUAAUUGUACUUGUUGAUUGUGCAGCAUGUAGGCGGGCUGUGGAAACCAGGAGUUGAGCACAGAGCAGUCUCAUACAGAUGCCUGGAUGUCCAGCUGCCCCUGCAUGUGUCCCUCUGUGCUGCUGUCUUGCCUGGAGAGCACCAGCAAAGGGAUGCAGAGUGGCCAUUCCUUCACCAUGUAAUACCUUCUCUGGUCACAGGGAAGGGACAUAAGUGGGCUCAUAGCUGACUCUCUCCUAUUGUUAGAGCACAGACAUCCUCAUGCUUUUGCUGCAGCUACCCCACCUGUGACGACCAGGAGCAACAUUUCCUCCACACUCCAAUGUCACCAACACUUCAGCAUUGUCAGUGAGGAGGAGUCUGCAAAAGCAUCGUGCGGGGGAGUAGACUAACAUCUUCCUUGGGGUGCUCUGAAUGGCACAGCAAAGUGGUCCCGUAUUUCAAGACAUUAACAGCAUCUCCCUCCGAGAAUGGGGCAUUCAGUUCAUGUACUUCUGACGAGGAUAUAUGAUGUCUUAUUAAAUAAGGAAAAGAAGAAGGCAAGUUCAUCUCACUGCAGGAGUGUUAACAUUUGUGAAUGUACAUGUCUUGAAUUCACUUAUGGAAUGGUAGCUUUUAAGAAACCAAUCUUAACAAAUCCAAAGGAAAUGGAAGAAAGAAUUUAAAUUAACUUACUUCAUCCAUUUAUAAAUUGUUUAGGUUAAUCACAGAAAACCAAACAGGAUUCGGCUGUACUUAAACACAGCCUUUGCUCUUGUAUAAACUGUUUAUUAUAUCCAUGACACACAACCAGACAAAAUUCAUUCCUGAGCUGGGGAACAGUCUAAUUUGGUUUUAUUAGGUUUAGAGAAAAACAUUUUGGCAGAAGAUCCACUUUAGAAUGUAAAAUAUUUUAAUAUUUUUCUCAAGAAAAUUCUCCCGAAAGAGAUGCAGCAGUUUCUCUCCAACAUCUCUGGGUAAGUAAAUUGGUCCAAAGAACAAAACAGGGCAAGCUCUUCCCUGGGUUUCUCUCUCCAUGACUGCAAAGAGAACCACCAGGGAACCAGGGCUCUUAAAACAGGUGCGGAAAGGACCUCUUUUUUUAAUGUGUCAUGCAAGUAUCUGAGGAAAUAGCCCCCCUACAAUGCCAUCUGAUCAAGCUAAGUACUCCAGGAUGGGAGCAGUGGCCUUCUCUUCCAGUUCUGGUGUUUUUUAGGAAGAAAAACAUAAAAACGUCAUAGAAAAGCCUUCAGGAAGAACUUCACAGUGGCAAGGAAAUGUGGCUGAAAAAGCCAAAAUGUUUGGUACUUGUGUGGUUGUACCAGUCUUCUUUCAAGGCUGGAUUAGGCCAUGGGCACCUGAUUGAGCUGUACAUGUCCCUGUUCAUUGCAGGGGAGUCGAACUAGAUGGCCUUUGAAGGCCUCUUCCAACUCUAAGGAUCUAUGACUCUAUGAUUCUUUCUAGCAACGAUCAGGCAAUUAAAAAUCAUUAUUUUAAGCUAGCACAGGGUAACAAUAGCAUAGAAAAUUUUACAUGUAUUGCAUUGUUUUAAACCUUCUGAGCUGGGUGAAAUUCCUCCUUGGUUUCCAAAAAGGAUUAGCAGAAGCAAUUUUAGAUCCCUUCGUGCUUAUCUUUGCACUUGUCCAGGGUAAAAGUCAGCAUGGAGUCAUCAUGGUUUGGUUUCCUGCUGAGCAGUAUCCCUUGUAAAUGGAGAAGAUACAGUAAACAUCUUGAGUUGUGAAAGGCUUUCGACAUUGCCUCAAAUGCCAUUCUUGUUAGCAAACGAAGGAAGCGAAGGAAGCGUUGUCUAAAUUCAAGUAAGGAGUGGGCACAAAUCUGGCUUGAAAGACAUAAUAAUUACCAUGUGCAUCCCUACGAGCGUCUCAGCACUGCUCCACAGUGACCUGGAUCUAUUGCUACUCAGUAUUUGAAAUAGCAGCCUAGGUGAUGGACUGGAACAUGUGCUUAUAAAAUUUGCAAGCAUUAUUGUGCUGCAAAAGGCUGCAAGCAUGCUGCAGGAUGGAAUUCCAAUUCAAAUUGCUCUUGACAGAUUGAAUAAGUGUUUUGAAAAAGCCUGAUCCUCUGUAGCAAGGACACUUAAACAGGACUAAUUAUGUCUACAGCCAUGUAAUGGGGAAAAGCCAUGCAGAGCAGUUAGCCACAAUGCUCUAGUGGGCAGAAUGGAGUCCAAAUCUAGCAAGACUCAAUAGUGCCUUGCUGUUACAUAGGAAGGCGAACAUCAUACUGUGAUGUAUCAGCAGUAGAGGUGGCUGAGAGACAUACCAAGUAGCCUUGGCCCUCUUUGAAAUCCUGGUAAGGUCUCAGAGGACUAGUCUGGCAGUAGCCUUUGAAUGCAUAGAAGUUGCAAAGAGGAAAAAUGUGUUGUCUCAGGAGUGGUUGUCCCCCAAAAUCAGAAGGGAUAAUAAAGAUAAGCCACUAAGAUAACUUCACAGGAAGUCUUCAGGGUAUCCAGAAUUUGAGAUGAUGAAUUACAGGCUACACUAUCUCUCUGGUAUCACUGAUCCUAUCUCAAGCUGGACAGCACAGCACCUUGAUGAAAUCCAGGCAUCCUUUCCUGCCAGAGGGGCUGCAGUUCUCUCUUUGGUCUCAGUCUCCAAGGGUCUGACUGCAGGGAAGUCAAGAAGCUGGAGAUCUUGUUCUAUGAGAAUUUCAAAAUGUAUGGUGCUAUGAGAAUAGGACAUCCUCUUUCAUAACUAACCAUAGAACAGUCGUGUUUCUCAUGGAAAGGAAAAUAUUUUUAAAAACAUUCAUUUUUAUUGCUUUAGAAUAAAAUCAAGCCUGAAAACAGCAUUCUGAGUCUUAAAUGUGGCCACCAUGCUCCUGCCAACAUUUUCAGUCCUGGUGAAGAGCAAGUAUUAGGACUCAUUGCUCAGCUAAGGGGCUCUUUGGGAUCUGCAGGUCUCAGGGCACCUGAGCUCCCCAUUGCUCAACAAAAGCCUCGAUGCACCAGUGUCACCAUGAGGUAUACACCAUGGCAACAUGUCCCCAUCACCACGUGGGCAUUAUGAAAGGAUCACCAUUAGACUGCAUCGUCACUCUGCAUGUAUUCAAUAGUGUCAAUUGAAAUCCAAUGGUUUUCACAGAAAACUUGGCCUGGAGCAAAGCAACAUUUUCUGACAUCUGUCACAUACGUCAUGUCCAAGAAUGCUCUUUGGAAGAGACGUCCUUUUGUUUCAGAAGUUUGUUACCAGAAGAAACACCAGUAGAUGGAGCACGAUGCCAGGCAGCACUGCUCCUCGCUGCUGUAAAACCCAUCAGCGUCAUAGCCCUUCACUGCCCACAGCUUGUGAAAACAGACCUGCAAAACCGCUGCCAACCUCAUGCCCAGCUCAAGUUUUUCCUGCUGCCAUGCUCCAGAUUUGGGCUAGUUCUGCUUUGAUGUUCAGCACCUCAUUCUUGGCUGACUUUAUUAAUGUGGCACUUAGGCUUAGCUCAUAGAGUGUUCAUGCAAAAUUUGCAUCCAUCCGCACAGUUUUUCACAAGUGUUUGCCACACACUAGCUCUUAUCAAAAAGUUUUUGCAGGUUUUUGCUGCAUCUUUAACAAUUUCCCCAAAGUCACAGUGCAAGUUUUCACACACACACACACACAC